CACCGCGGUUAUACGAGAGACCCAAGUUGUUAGAUGCCGGCGUAAAGGGUGGUUAAGAUAAAUUAAAGACUAAAGCCGAACGCCCUCAGAGCUGUUAUACGUUCCCGAGAGUAAGAAGUCCAACUACGAAAGUGGCUUUAUAACAUCUGAACCCACGAAAGCUAUGACA
RNAcentral lists this ribosomal RNA (169 nucleotides) under Paracaesio xanthurus (yellowtail blue snapper). RNAcentral describes it as "partial small subunit ribosomal RNA". Lineage: Eukaryota; Metazoa; Chordata; Actinopteri; Lutjaniformes; Lutjanidae. The record is from RNAcentral.